AGGGUCUAUGCCAACCCGUCGUCUUGCUCAUCCGGUGUGCCCUGAGAACGAGAUAUGUGCAGCUCCUAUCGGGAUUUGUCGGCACAUCGGGCGGCUUUGCUGGUCUUGUUUUACCAUUGUCGAAAUGUCUUGAUGUACCGGGAUACCGAGUCUGAUCGGAGUGUCUUGGGUGAAGGUUUAUUCCUUCGUUGAUCGCGAGAGCUUGUUAUGGGCUAAGUUGGGACACCCCUGCAGGGUUUUAUCUUUCGAAAGCCGUGCCCGCGGUUAUGAGGCAGAUGGGAAUUUGUUAAUGUCCGGUUGUAGAAAACCCGAAGUUGACCUUAAUUAAAAUACAUCAACCGUGUAUGUAACUGUGAUGGUCUCUUCUCGGCGGAGUCCGGGAAGUGAACACGGUGUUGGAGUUAUGUUUGACGCAGGUUGCUAGGAUCACCUCUUGAUCACUACUAGCUUCCCGACCGUGCUUUGCUUCUCUUCUCGCUCUCUUUUGCGAUGUAGCCACCAUAUAUGCUAGUCGCUUGCUGCAGCCCUUCCUCUUUUUACACCAGCCUUCCCUUAAGCUUAAAUAGUCUUGAUCUCGCGGGUGUGAGAUUGCUGAGUCCCUGUGGCUCACAGAUUCUACCAAAACAGAUGCAGGUACCGGUGAUGCCAGCGCUGAUGGCGCAACUGAGCUGAAGUGGGAAUAUGAUGAGGCACUUGGUCGAUACUAUGUUUCAUUUCCAGACGAUUAGUAGUGGAGCCCAGUUGGGGCGAUCGGGGAUCUGCGUUGCAUGUGGGGUAUUCUUCUUUUAUUUUGGUUCCGUAGUCGGACCUUGAGUGUAAUCUGUAUGAUGGAUGUUUAAUUAUGCAUUGUGUAAAGUGGCGACUGUAAGCCAACUAUGUAUCUUUUCCCUUAUGUAUUACAUGGAUUGUGCGAAGAUUACCUCACUUGCGACAUUGCUUUCAAUGCGGUUAUGCCUCUAAGUCGUGCUUCGACACGUGGGAGAUAUAGCCGCAUCGAGGGCGUUACAUCCCGAACUGUGCGUCUAGGCGGAUGGUAACAGGAAACGAGGGACACAAUGUUUUUACCCAGGUUCGGGCCCUCUUGAUGGAGGUAAAACCCUACGUCCUGCUUGAUUAAUAUUGAUGAUAUGGGUAGUACAAGAGUGGAUCUACCACGAGAUCAAGGAGGCUAAACCCUAGAAGCUAGCCUAUGGUAUGAUUGUUGAGAUGUAAUGUUCGUCCUAUGGACUAAGGCCCUCCGGUUUAUAUAGACACCGGAGAGGCUAGGGUUACACAGAGUCGGUUACAAUGGUAGGAGAUCUACAUAUCCGUAUUGCCAAGCUUGCCUUCCACGCCAAGGAAAGUACCUUCCGGACACGAGCCGGAGUCUUCAAUCUUCUAUCUUCGUAGUAUGGGAGUCCGGCGAAUAUUGAUAGUCCGGCUAUCCGGACACCCCCUAGUCCAGGACUCCCUCAGUAGCCCCCGAACCAGGCUUCAAUGACAAUAAGUCCAGCGUGCUUGUAGUCUUCGGCGUUGCAAGGUGGGUUCUCCCUUCAAAUUCCAUGUACCAGCCGAAUAGUGUCCGGCUUCAUCUAGAAUAUUGUGCUCCUCGGCUUCCACGCCAAAUUAUGGCCCUCUUCCACGCGUCGCACGAAUGCGAAAAGCCAGGGUGUUUUUUACAUUUUACCCCCUAAUUGUGCGGGUCAUCCGCCUAUAAAAAAGGCAAGGAUCCAGAUCCAAAACACACCACCUUCCUCCCGCGUAUACUCCAUCAAAGCGCCUCUGACCUAGAAAUCCAUUCCACCAUGGAUCGUCAACGCGGCUCUUCCUCACGCGCUCCUAGCCCACCGCGAGGGGAUUGGAGGAGGUGCUCUAUUUUGCAUAAUGAGCUAGUGAAGCUCCAAACGGAGGGAUUUCUUCCUCCGGCUUUCAUGGUUCUAGUCCGAGCCGGACUGGUUACUUAUCGAGGUGGGAGGCAGGCGGAGGACACCCCAAGCCCCAACAAGGGGGAGCGAGUGUGUUUCGUCCCCUAUCUGAUAAGGGGGCUCAGAUUUCCAAUACAUCCGUUCCUCCGCGGGCUCCUGAAGUUCUACGGACUCCAGCUCCAUCACCUCACGCCCGCCUCUGUGCUGCAUAUUGCGGGCUACGUAGCUCUUUGCGAGCUAUUCCUGGGCAUCGAGCCCCAUUUUGCAUUGUGGAAGAGGCUGUUCUGCCUCGUACCCCGUUCUCACCAGCGGUCCAUAUAUCAAGUGGGCGGCGCCGAAAUAUGGCGCAUCGCCGGGACCGGAUACCUAUCUGGCACCCCCAAGAGGGCAUCCGAAGACUGGCCCUCGGAGUGGUUUUAUAUAGUAGACGCUCCGUUGCCCGACCCAGUCCGGAUCGGCCUCCCGGAGUUUGAUUCUGCUCCCUUGAAGAAACGCCUCAGCUGGUGCCCGCGGAGCCCCCGUUUGGAGGAAGACAAGAGCGUCCAUUACUUGAUGGGCCGGAUAAGAUUAAUGGCUCAUUCCGGCUUGACCAUGAUUGGAGUCAUGGCGACGUGCAUCAAGCGGGGGGUGCAGCCGCUGCAAUACAGAGGCCACCCCAUGUGGGAUUUCAACGGGGAGGACGAUGCUACCCGGCAUGGCCGCAAAGGGCCGGGUUCGACCGAGGAUCUGGUGAAGAUCCUGUCCGGUCUGUACAAGGGGGAGAAGGAGGACUUCCUUCAUCCGAACCCUUUGGACGGGUUUUCCAUGAUCAACCCUAGAGGAUGGGUAAGCGAACACCUCGAAGGAUUCCACCCGUGCUUUCCAAGUUUAAGCUUCUUACAUUAUGUCUCCGGCGCAGGAUCUACGCCGGACCGUGGAGGACAUGGUGAGUCCUGCUCCACAACCCAAGGAUCCGGAAGGAUCCCUGGGUCCGGCUUCUGAAGAGGAUCCGGACAUUGAGGUGGAGCUGAUCGACGGGGUGCAUCACCAGCUCAGCAUCGACAAUGCUUUGGUCGCCAUUACGGCGGACUACCCCGGGCUAAGCCUGGCUUCCCAGGUGACUAUGACCAAAGUCCGGACACCGUUAUCUUAUCCUUGCCUAUUUCUGACCUUCGCGAACGAUGGUGUUUUGCAGGAAGCGCCGUUACGGCAGGAAACCGAGCCUGCGGCGGCCGACCUACAGAGGUCAGUCCUAACUAGCAGGAGAAAAAGGAGCGCCGUGCGGAUGGAAACGUCGCCGCAAAGGUAUAGCUCAUGUUUGAUCUUUUCGAGCAACGCUCCGAGGAAACGUCUAAAUGCUCAUGAUCAUCACAGGAGAAAAAGCGCUCGCCGGACUGCGAGCGCAGGGAUUGCCGACCCAACCAACAAGAGCCAGGCUCCAGCGCCCGGUCUGGAGGGGGAGGCAAGCGCAAGACGCGAAUCGGAUCCUGCCCCAAUGGAGGAUACCGAUAGACUGUCCGCCACCAAGUCAGAGGUGGAGAGCGCUAUGAAUCAUAGACGCCGCCGGACAGUUUUUCAAGAAGCGUGCUUUUCCCCUGAGGCAUUGGAUGCCUUUAACGCAGGGGACGCGCAUCUCCGUGCUGCUCAAAAUGGUCUUACCAGAGCGACGGAGCAGUAUGUUAAAGACAUACGGGUAAGGGAAUUUUAAUGGUUGUAUACACCAGUAGCGCCCGAGACUUAAAUUAGUUAUGGAAACUGAUUUAAGGAUCAUUUGAAAUUUCAGGCUCUUAACGAGAAGAAUACCCAGCUGUCUCGGGAACUGCAAGAUUGCAAGGCCCAACUUGAGGCCGCACUUGCUGCCGCAUGAGGAGACGGAAAGACCCCUCCUGGUAACACAUUUGUAUAAAUUAAUAUAAGCAGGUGCCGCCGAACUAGAUCCGGACAGGCAAGCAUUGCUACGCCAGCUAAAGGCUGGCGAGAAUGUGCUGAAUAGGGUUCAGCAAGAAAGGAACAAGCUCCAAGAUGCCAAUGCCAAGCUCGGGGAAGAGCUGAAAGGCGCGCAGGCCGAGCUGUCCAGCUCCGUCAAGGAGAAUCAACGGCUUCGUCGCGGCAUAUAUAGUAAGUGCGUGAGCGAACUCUUUAACAGAGAAGAGUUCGGCGAGGAAGUAAUUUGACAUAAUAUGUCUUGUAGGUGUACUCACGGGUCGUCCUGCAGAGGAGAUGCCCGUAUCAACGGGUGAUCAACUUCCCGAACUAUUGCAGCUACUCGAACGAGUUCGGCAUGCAAUGAGUGGCGCCGUACAGGCUUUAUGGCCAUCCCUCACCCUGCCCGAGGGCCUCGGGGAGCUUGCAGAGAAGCUGCAGGGAGUACGGCAGUGCUUCCGUUUGUGGAAGGUUUCGGCUUGCCGUCAAGGUGCCAGGGAGGCUUGGGCCAUGGUGAAGACGCGGUAUAAGAAGGCGGAUCCCAACCAUAUGGCCGAAGUUGGACCGGUGGGGCCUGAUGGGAAGGAGAUCCCUAUGAGUUUAGUGUACGGCCAGGUAGAACUGGCUGCUAAAUUUUCCCAACGGGACUGUAAGCUAGACAGCCUGUUAGACGGGAUUGAGGAGGAAUACAAUCAAUAAAUUUGACAAUGUAUGUUAUCCUUUGAAAAGACAUGUGAAAUGCCUUCUAGCCUGAUUGUAGAUCGUUUGUCUUUGCCGACCUUUUCGCUUCGACCUCGGGACCCUAGAGUCCGGAGUGUGUCCGAAUACCUUUUUGGUUAAGAAACAACCGUGGUAUGCAUGGAGACCAGGCGUAGGGGUCAUUAGUGCUUUAUCAGACAAGUGCCCAACUAGUUAUGUUAUAUUACAUGGUUAGUAAGAAACAUCUUCCAGGGAGAAUAGUUCCGUUAAGGGUUCCUUUCGCUGGGGAGGCAUGCCCUAAAGUGCAUUGCCGGACUGCAAAGAAAGAAGGAAAACAUCUGGGGGCAGAUGGAAAAAUAGUUAAGAAAUCAUCUUUUAAAUCACCGACCGAAUAUUCCCUUAAGAACGCUAGCUUUCGGCUUCACCCAGUCUGAGGUACACAUCCGGCUGACCCGGUAGUAACAAUGGCAGAGGUGCUCCCUUUACCUCCUAGCCGAACAAUCGGGAACGUAGGGGUAAGCACAAGAGCCAGGCAACCCAGCUUGGCCAAAACUUAAGUCAUAUCGAUGCAUAUAAUGGCGAGUAAAAGGUACAUGUGGAAGCUUGACACAUGUGUUGGGUAUAAAACCCGUAUAAUUGAGCUUCUGUGAAAGAAGCCCCCAGGAAUAACGAGUGCGGAUGGCACAUCGUGCGUACGCAAAGAAUGCGAAAAUAGGCCCCGAAGGGCUUUUAAAUUAAAAGGAUAAAAAGAGAAAUAGAAGAUAGCCGAAAUAUAAAAGGUUGGACGGGGGAAGGGGACGAACUCUUAGUCCGGCGCUAGGCAUAGAAUCGUCGGAGUCGGGCUGCGUUCCAUGGGUUCGGCUCGAGUCGGUUGUCCGACGCAUUUCGUAGAUGGUAUGCUCCGCCGGUCAGUACUUGAUCAAUAAUGAAGGGGCCUUCCCAUCUGGGCUUGAGCUUGUCCUUUUUCUUGUCCGGCAGGCGUAGAACUAGUUCGCCAACAUUGUAAGUCUUGGCCCGUACUUCUCUGUUUUGGUAUCUUCGGGCCUGUUGCUGAUAGAAUGCGGAACGAGCCUUCGCGACGUCACGUUCUUCCUCCAAUGUGUCCAAGCUGUCCUGCCGAUCCAACUCGGCUUCUCUUUCCUCAUACAUGCGCACUCGAGGUGAGUCAUGAAUAAUGUCGCAGGGCAAGACUGCCUCUACGCCGUAUACCAUAAAAAAUGGUGUGAAUCCGGUAGUACGGUUAGGCGUUGUCCGCGGCCCCCAGAGUACGGAGUCGAGCUCCUCGACCCAUUGGGUGUCUGAUUUAGUGAGUGACCUCACUAGUCUGGGUUUAAUGCCGCUCAUUAUUAGACCAUUUGCUCUUUCCACUUGACCGUUGGUUUGAGGGUGAUAGACUGACGCAUAGUCGAGCUUAAUGCCCAUAUUUUUGCACCAUGACUUGACCUCAUCGGCUGUGAAGUUCGUGCCGUUGUCGGUGAUGAUGCUGUGGGGGACUCCGUAACAGUGUACCACCUCUGAUAUAAAGUCUAUCACUGGUCCGGACUCUGCCGUUUUGACCGGUUUGGCCUCUAUCCAUUUGGUGAACUUAUCCACCAUGACCAAUAGGUACUUUUUCUUGUGGGUUCCCCCUUUAAGGGGUCCAACCAUGUCAAGCCCCCAGACCGUGAACGGCCAGGUAAUGGGUAUGGUUUUGAGGGCGGUGGGUGGCAUAUGGCUCUGAUUAGCAAAGAGUUGACAACCGACGCAUCGCUGGACCAAGUCCUGUGCAUCUGCCCGAGCCGUCGGCCAAUAAAAUCCUGUACGGAAUGCCUUUCCUACCAGGGCCCGGGCUGCUGCGUGGUGUCUGCCUAGUCCGGCGUGGAUUUCAGCCAGGAGGUUUCGCCCUUCUUUUUCGGAGAUACACCUUUGAAGGACUCCGGUAGUACUUUUCUUGUAAAGUUCUCCCUCAUGGACCUUGUAGGCCUUCGAUCGCCGGACUAUGCAGCGGGCCUCAUUUUGGUCUUCAGGAAGUUCCUGCCUAAGUAAAUAGGCUAGGAAAGGUUCUGUCCAUGCGGGGAUUACUGCCAUUAUAACAUGGGCGGAGGGUGUUAUGUCAUCUGCUGAAUCACCGGUUGGUGCGGUUUUCUCCGGUUUGUCGCUACCGGGCUCCUCUUCCCAUAGUACGGAUGGCUUGAAGAGCCGUUCCAGGAAGAUAUUUGGAGGGACGGCAUCACGUUUCACACCGAUGCGUGCCAGGACGUCGGCCGCUUGGUUAUUAUCUCGGGCUAUGUGAUGGAAUUCGAGUCCUUCAAACCGAGCUGACAUUUUCAGGACAGCAUUGCGAUAUGCUGCCAUUUUCUGAUCCUUGGCGUCAAAGUCUCCAUUUAUUUGGGAUAUUGCAAGGUUUGAAUCCCCGCGCACCUCUAGGCGUUGAAUGCCCAUGGAGACUGCCAUCCGAAGACCAUGUAAUAGGGCCUCGUAUUUGGCUGCAUUGUUGGAGUCCGUGUACAUUAUUUGAAGUACAUAUUGGACUGUAUCUCCGGUGGGGGACGUCAGUACGACGCCAGCCCCCAAUCCGGCCAACAUUUUGGAACCGUCGAAGUGCAUAGUCCAAUUGGAGUGUGCGACGUACUCUUUAGGGAGUUCGGCUUCAGUCCAUUCGGCGACGAAGUCAGCCAAAACUUGUGACUUUAUGGCUCGUCGAGGUUUGUAAGUUAUGUCGAAUGGCAAGAGCUCAAUUGCCCAUUUUGCGAUCCUGCCCGUUGCGUCGCAGUUAUUUAUAAUGUCAUUGGGUGGUACUUCGGAGGCCACUCUUAUCGAACACUCUUGAAAGUAGUGCCGGAGCUUCCGAGACGCCAUGAACACCGCAUAUGCUAUCUUCUGAUAGUGCGGGUAACAGGAUUUGCAGGGGUUAACACAGUGGAUACGUAAUACACUGAUUUUUGAAGAGGGAAUUUAUGCCCUUCUGUCGCUCGUUCGACGACGAGGACAGCGCUUACAACUUGAUGUGUUGCUGCGAUAUAUAACAACAUUGGUUCGCCCAUAGUGGGCGCAGCCAGGACCGGAUUUGUUGCCAAUAUGGCCUUUAUUUCUUCGAGUCCGGCAGUGGCGGCAUCCGUCCACUCGAAGUGUUCGGUGCGCCUUAGGAGGCGAUAAAGGGGCAACGCCUUCUCUCCUAAACGGGAGAUAAAACGGCUUAAAGCUGCCACGCAUCCUGUUAAUUUUUGUAUUUGCUUGAGGUCCUUUGGAAUAUCCAACUGUGACAGAGCCCGGAUUUUGGCCGGAUUUUCUUCAAUUCCUCUACCGGAUACGAUGUAGCCCAGCAGCUUUCCGGCUGGUACACCGAAAACACAUUUUUCCGGAUUCAGCUUGAUGUCAUAUGCUCUAAGGUUGUCGAAUGUGAGCCUCAAAUCGUCUACUAAUGUUUCGACGUGUUUUGUUUUGACGACUACGUCGUCUACGUAUGCCUCGACUGUUUUGCCGAUCUGGGUGGCCAGACAUGUUUGAAUCAUGCGCUGAUAUGUUGCGCCGGCGUUUUUAAGUCCGAAGGGCAUUGUGUUGAAGCAGAAUGGUCCGUAUGGAGUGAUGAAUGCCGUUGCGGCUUGAUCUGCUUCCGCCAUCUUGAUUUGAUGAUAGCCGGAGUAUGCAUCCAGGAAGCACAACGAAUCAUGUCCUGCUGUGGCAUCGAUAAUUUGAUCGAUGCGGGGGAGGGGGAAAGGAUCCUUUGGGCAGGCCUUAUUGAGGUCUUUGAAGUCGACACAGAGGCGCCAGGAUUUAUCCUUCUUCGGUACCAUCACCAAAUUUGCUAGCCAGUCCGGAUGUUUGAUAUCUCUGAUGAAUCCGGCUUCCAAUAACUUGGCUAGCUCUUCUCCCAUUGCCUGUCUUUUGGGCUCGGAAAAUCGUCGAAGAGCCUGUUUGACUGGCUUAAAUCCUUUUAGGAUGUUUAGGCUGUGUUCUGCCAACCUGCGAGGGAUUCCGGGCAUGUCCGAGGGAUGCCAGGCGAAGAUGUCCCAAUUUUCCCGAAGGAAUUCGCGCAGUGCGGCGUCAACUUCGGGGUUGAACUGUGCCCCGAUGGAAGCCGUCUUUGUUGGGUCCGUUGGGUGGACCUGAAAUUUUAUUAUCUCGUCUGCUGGUUUGAAGGAGGUGGACUUGGAUCUUUUAUCAAGUAUCACAUCGUCCCUGUUUACCGUAGAGCGCAGCGUGGUGAGUUCCUCUGCCGCUAAGGCUUCGGAUAGCGCCUCGAGGGCAAGUGCGGCUGUCUUGUUUUCGGCGCGGAGUGCUAUGUCCGGAUCACUAACGAGAGUGAUUAUUCCGCUGGGUCCGGGCAUUUUAAGCUUCAUGUACCCGUAAUGAGGUAUUGCUUGAAAGAUUGUGAAUGCCUCUCGUCCUAAUAUGGCGUGAUAGCCGCUGCUGAACGGGGCCACCUGGAACGUGACUUCUUCGGAUCUGUAAUUGUCCGGAGAGUCGAACACCACAUCGAGUGUGAUUUUUCCGAUGCAGCGCGCUUCACGGCUAGGGAUUAUUCCUCUGAAGGUUGUGCUGCUUCGCUCAAUACGGCUCCAAUCGAUUUCCAUUUUCCGCAGAGUUUCCUCGUAAAUGAGGUUUAGUCCGCUGCCGCCAUCCAUGAGGACUUUUGUCAGUCGAAAGCCGUCCACUAUGGGACUAAGUACCAGUGCGGCUGGGGCUCUGGUAGUUCGAGAUGUGGGCUCGUCGCUGGCGUUGAAGGUAAUAGCUGUGUCACUCCAUGGAUUUGCUGUUGCUACUUGGUAGACUUCGGCGAGUUCGCGGAUUGUUCGUUUUCGCAUAUUAUUUGAUGCGAAAGUCUUGAAGACUGCUGAUACCGUGCUGGUCUUGUUGGAGUGGUUUCCCGGAGCUAGUAGCUCUUCGCCACUUUUGGCCACCUGCCGUAGUAUCCAACAUGCUCGAAGGCUAUGUGUUGGGAUGGCUCCCUCUGUACUAUGGAGUUUACAGGGUUCAUUGAGCCAUCCCUCCAGUACGGUUCCGUUUCCCUUAUUGGGUUUUUGUUUUUUGGUUUUUGCAUCCGGGGCCUGAUUGUAAGGCGCCCUUUUACUGCGGACUGGGUUUGGUGCCGGAGUAUCCCAAAAUUUAUUUUCAGUUUUCCGGAAACUUUCUAUCGCACAGUACUUUCAUACUAUGGACGCCAGAUCGGUGAAGCGCGUAAUCUUGCGACGAUCAAUGGCGUUCAGAAUUACCUUGUCCGUGCAGUUAUUGCAGAAGAUUGAGAUUGUGUUUCCCUCUCGGCAGUCCUUUAUCCUGUCCAUGACUAGGAGGAAUCUGGCCCAGUAAUGAUGUAAUGUUUCUGAAGGCUCUUGCCGAAUUAGAGAUAGGUCGCAUAUGUCUGGGCGGGUGGGUGGAAUAAAAUCCGGAUCCCUGCCCAUCUUUGGGCUCAAAGGCCGAGGGGCUUCCAAAUUCGGGAGCUUGAUUUGCUGGAGAUAGUCCAAGGAGUCCGGAGCGACGCAUGAUUUUAGGUUCAAUGCUCGAUCAAAGUCCGUCCCUCCGCGGGAAUCCGGCAUGGAGGGUUCGGGAAUCCGGACACGGAUUGUUUUCAAUACUGGCAAAGAAUUGCCGAAUUGUUCUUCUACCACUUCGACGUGGUGGGUAGCCUGGGGAGAGUUAAUCUCUCUCAGAUCGGUUUUAAGCCCGAUCUGAUUGUAGUCCGUAGCGACUCCAAGGGCGGCGAUGUGAUCCAAGAGCUCGUUAACAGAUGAGAGCUCAAUUGGAUCUAACUGUUCGGCAGCUUUAGGGCUGACGCGAAGAUUGCUUCCGAUGACUUGAGAAGUCAUUGCCGAAGCGGCGGCCGGACAGGCGGUCAUAAGAAAACCGCCAAGCCGGAUUGUUUGACCGGCGGCCAAGGCCCCUCCGGCAAAAACACCGUCCUUGAAGACGGGUAAAGGCAUCCGCUCUAUCGGCGACGACACAGAGGAACUCUCAAUGAAAGCACCAAUGUCGGUGUCAAAACCGGCGGAUCUCGGGUAGGGGGUCCCGAACUGUGCGUCUAGGCGGAUGGUAACAGGAGACGAGGGACACAAUGUUUUUACCCAGGUUCGGGCCAUCUUGAUGGAGGUAAAACCCUACGUCCUGCUUGAUUAAUAUUGAUGAUAUGGGUAGUACAAGAGUGGAUCUACCACGAGAUCAAGGAGGCUAAACCCUAGAAGCUAGCCUAUGGUAUGAUUGUUGAGAUGUAAUGUUCGUCCUAUGGACUAAGGCCCUCUGGUUUAUAUAGACACCGGAGAGGCUAGGGUUACACAGAGUCGGUUACAAUGGUAGGAGAUCUACAUAUCCGUAUUGCCAAGCUUGCCUUCCACGCCAAGAAAAGUACCUUCCGGACACGAGCCGGAGUCUUCAAUCUUCUAUCUUCGUAGUAUGGGAGUCCGGCGGAUAUUGAUAGUCCGGCUAUCCGGACACCCCCUAGUCCAGGACUCCCUCAC
Molecule: long non-coding RNA, 10933 nt
Filed under: Triticum aestivum (bread wheat)
Lineage: Eukaryota; Viridiplantae; Streptophyta; Magnoliopsida; Poales; Poaceae
Description: long non-coding RNA (TAES_LNC016365)
Source: RNAcentral